Long non-coding RNA from Pseudophryne corroboree (corroboree frog), 665 nucleotides. RefSeq lists it as uncharacterized. The record is from RefSeq and is a predicted model, not a curated record. NCBI's taxonomy places the organism in Eukaryota, Metazoa, Chordata, Amphibia, Anura, Myobatrachidae. The transcript is spliced from 3 exons.
UUCUUGCAGACGGAGGGGCUAGGGGCGGUUGGCCCAGAGGGACACCAUGUGAGUCCCUGCUAGGUCGGUCCCAUGCAAACAUCCGCGGCCGGCUGACGCUUGCUUCCGGGUUUGCGUUCCAGCAGCUGGAACACAACACAGAAGCUAUUAUCUGCUCCAGGCUCCAGCUAGCUGCCACUUCCGGGUGCCGUUAGACGGGAGCAGUGUCUGCAGCUGCAGCUGCUGGGCUCGUGUUAGUGGAAACAUGUGACAUGCACACCUGUUUUCAUUGCCAUUCGCUGUGUAGGGGCCGUUGUGGCCGGACAGAGCUGCCAGGGUGGUCAGAAGUGAAGCCAUACCUCAGCAGCGUCAGACAGUGUGCUGGGAGAUAAGAAUCGUCUGACCAUGGAGGACGAUCUGAUUGGAUAGUAUGGGGGCAGGUGGAAGGUGUACUGUACUGUGCCUUGCUGAACAGUGUUUGCAGGUGAAGCGGGAAAGGUCCCAUCCAGAGAGACCUAAGAGGAAUAUCUGGGAAUUUUCAACUGUAUAUAUCACCAAGUUGCGAAGUAGGACAAUGCUCCAGGAACCAGACAAGAUUAUCAUUAUUCAGACUGUCAGUUCUUUCUUAUUUAUGUUUUAUUAUCUCUCUAUCUCUCUCUCUCUCUCUCUCUCUCUCUCUCUCUCUC